CCUACGGGUGGCAGCAGUGGGGAAUAUUGGGCAAUGGGCGCAAGCCUGACCCAGCAACGCCGCGUGAAGGAAGAAGUCUUUCGGGUUGUAAACUUCUUUUCUCAGGGACGAAGCAAGUGACGGUACCUGAGGAAUAAGCCCCGGCUAACUACGUGCCAGCAGCCGCGGUAAUACGUAGGUGGCAAGCGUUAUCCGGAUUUACUGGGUGUAAAGGGCGUGUAGGCGGGACUGCAAGUCAGAUGUGAAAACCAGGGGCGCAACCUGUGGCCUGCAUUUGAAACUGUAGGGCUGGAGUACAGGAGAGGCAGGUGGAAUUCCUAGUGUAGCGGUGAAAUGCGUAGAUAUUAGGAGGAACACCAGUGGCGAAGGCGGUUUGCUGGACAGCAACUGACGCUGAGGCGCGAAAGCGUGGGGAGCAAACAGGAUUAGAUACCCCAGUAGUC
RNAcentral lists this ribosomal RNA (443 nucleotides) under uncultured bacterium. RNAcentral's name for it is "partial 16S ribosomal RNA". It matches the Rfam family "Bacterial small subunit ribosomal RNA", at positions 338 to 795 of the family's 1533-position model. The record is from RNAcentral.